CCAGCCAUACCGCGUGGGUGAAGAAGGCCUUCGGGUUGUAAAGCCCUUUUGUUGGGAAAGAAAUCCAGCUGGCUAAUACCCGGUUGGGAUGACGGUACCCAAAGAAUAAGCACCGGCUAACUUCGUGCCAGCAGCCGCGGUAAUACGAAGGGUGCAAGCGUUACUCGGAAUUACUGGGCGUAAAGCGUGCGUAGGUGGUCGUUUAAGUCCGUUGUGAAAGCCCUGGGCUCAACCUGGGAACUGCAGUGGAUACUGGGCGACUAGAGUGUGGUAGAGGGUAGCGGAAUUCCUGGUGUAGCAGUGAAAUGCGUAGAGAUCAGGAGGAACAUCCAUGGCGAAGGCAGCUACCUGGACCAACACUGACACUGAGGCACGAAAGCGUGGGGAGCAAACAGGAUUAGAUACCCUGGUAGUCCACGCCCUAAACGAUGCGAACUGGAUGUUGGGUGCAAUUUGGCACGCAGUAUCGAAGCUAACGCGU
Molecule: ribosomal RNA, 481 nt
Filed under: chlortetracycline-resistant bacterium PMM-P1-31
Lineage: Bacteria
Description: bacterial SSU rRNA
Rfam family: Bacterial small subunit ribosomal RNA
Source: RNAcentral